GCCACGUGAUAUGCAAAUCUGGAAAAAACUGGAUCCAUCUGGUGAUGCACAUGUGAAGACGGUGGAAAGAGUGUUAGGUGAAGAUAUUUUCUGAAACGCAAAGAGGCGAAGACGCUGAAAAGAGUUCAGAGCAAGAAAGUGUUGCAAAGGGGGCAGCAUGAAGGAAGUAUCCUGUUGGAAGUGAACUUUCAUUUGUUAAUGUGACACAUUUGGUGUACAUUCAUGAUCUGUGGUUUUAGGCUUCACCAUUGCAUUGCAGCCUGUUUCAAAAAAUAAAGUGAAAUGCUUUAUUUUG
Long non-coding RNA from Tachysurus fulvidraco (yellow catfish), 295 nucleotides. RefSeq lists it as uncharacterized. The record is from RefSeq and is a predicted model, not a curated record. Lineage: Eukaryota; Metazoa; Chordata; Actinopteri; Siluriformes; Bagridae. The transcript is spliced from 3 exons.